UUUUUUUUUUUUUUUUUUUUUAAAUGGCAAAGGCAGAUGUCUUUGCUUAAGUUUCCUGGCAUCCCUGGCAGCUGAUUGGGACACCUCUGAGCUCUACUGCAGCUCCUGCUAAAGCCACUUGCUUGGGUUUGCAGGGUACAGCUCUGCAGCUGCUCAUGGGUCUAGGCAGGCUUCUCCAACCUCAGAAGUUCUGCAGGUCUUUGCAGGCUCCCUCCCCAGCUUCCCUCGCGUGCCAUCCUUGGGGAAGGGGCUAUCAUCAUCGUCUGGGCUUGGCAAGGAGUAGUCCAUGUUCUGUGGACCCACACUGUGAAAAGCAUGGCCCUGCAUCACCUGGGAACUGGUAGACAUACAGAAUCUCAGGUCCCACACCAGAACUACUGAGUCAGCUUCUGCAUUUCCACAAGGUCCCCAAGUGCUCCGUGCACACACUAAAGUAUGAAUGGAGUCCUGCUUUGGGAUGUGGCUGCCCACCUGCAGAAGAUUAGGGUCCAAGACCAAGAAGGAUGAGGCCCCUCAUCUACUCUCUACUUCCAUUACUUUACAUUUGUUUCUGCUUUUGCUGCAAUCAAUAACUGUCUUAUUUGUUUGUUUAUUGUCUAUCUCCCCCAGAAUGUAAAUCAUGUGGGGGCAAAGAUACUUUCUCAGUCAGUGCUGAAUUCAUAGUGUCUUGCCCAUAGCUCAGCACAAGGUAGGCAUUCAAAAAAUAUGAGUAGGUUGGCUGGUGGGUUGGAUAAAUGUGUGAAUGAAGGAAUGAAGAUAGAGAAAGGGGAAGAAGGAGGGAAAUAGGUAGGCGCUUUGGCUGACAAGUUGGCUGCCCUCUUGUUCAGGUCCUUAGAGACAACUCUAGUCAUUCUCACUCCGCUGUGAAUGUUUUAGCCCAGGUGCAAGGCUGGCGUCAGUAGCAAUGUGACUGGGUGGGAUACAGCGUUGUUGCAAGAAAUCUCCAGUCGCCAGCAAGCACUGUGAUUAAAGAAUGUGGUUGUCACAUUUAUUUCAGCAGGGAAACUCCUUUGUAAAUGAAAUCUGAUGCAGAAACCCGAUCUAGAUGAUGUAUGUAUCCGGGGUGUUCAUGCUCUCGGGUUCCAGAUCGGGGGACGCUGACAUGCCCAGCUCAGGCCUCCCAACCACAGGUGCCCUCAAGGGGAUAGGGUCUUCCUCCUGGGCCACUCUGGGCACUUGCUCUGGCAUCCCUUUCCCUCCAUCCUUCUUGUUCUGUGCUCACCUUUUUUAGAUUGCAUGCACAAAAGCUCUUCUGUGUCUCCCCUUUCGUGAUGGGGCUUGAUGGUUCAUCAGAGUAAUGCCAAAGCCAGUCAUGUUCCUGCAACAGGGCCAGCCUGAUAGUACUGGGCACAGCACCCUGAGUCCUCCCCGGAGCCCAGCAACCUUCCCCAGCCCACACAAGACUUUUUAUCCUGCUAAACAGAUAACAGCAGAAGGAUCCCUAGAGCAACAGUGUGGCUUGGGGACCAGAGCCUCCUCCCUAAGGCCAACCCCUCUCCAGCUGCCUCCUUGUUGCUCCUAAAGAAUUACUCAAUGACAGACCUUGGUCAAUAAAUCCCUCCUACCCAGUUUCACAGAUGGAAAAACUGAAGCCAGAGAAGAGCAGAGACCUGCCUUUGGCCCCCCAGUGGCUGAGCUGGGGUGACAUUGCAUCCCCUGGGAGAUCCGUAGCUCUUCCCCUAACCCCUUCUCCAGCCUGGCCCUCUCUUUCGGCAAAAAAAAAAAAAAAAAAUGCCAAGCAAUGGUGAGUUACUAAACUGAUGGUCCCUAGGGGCCAAGUUAUGGAAGGAUGACUUGUUUUUCUCUGUGGUCAAGUGUCCUUUUACUGACAACUCUUCAGUAGUGCAAAAUUCAGACUGAUCUUUGUAUGAUAUUUGGUGACUGGGUCGCCAUCACAAGUGUAGGGUGGCAUGCAAUCAAAACACAGCAGGAGGCAGCUUUGGCCCUUGAAUCAUUUGUUCAUAAAAGAUUACUUUUUCAGUAGCUGGAGAAUCAAAAUUGUGAGUUUUUACUGAUACAAUGGAUCACAUGGUUCACUUUUUUUUUUUUUUAGACAGAGUUUUGCUCUUGUCACCUAGGCUGGAGUGCAAUGCCACAAUCUCGGCUCACUGCAACCUCUGCCUCCCAGGUUCAGGCAAUUCUCCUGCCUCAGCCUCCUGAGUAGCUAGGAUUACAGGCGCCCACCACCACACCCGGCUAGUUUUGUAUUAUUAGUAGAGACAGGGUUUCACCAUGUUGGCCAGGCUGGUCUCAUACUCC
RNAcentral lists this long non-coding RNA (2259 nucleotides) under Macaca fascicularis (crab-eating macaque). RNAcentral's name for it is "lncRNA (ENSMFAG00000056884.1)". The record is from RNAcentral. Lineage: Eukaryota; Metazoa; Chordata; Mammalia; Primates; Cercopithecidae.